Long non-coding RNA from Myotis brandtii (Brandt's bat), 1204 nucleotides. RefSeq lists it as uncharacterized. The transcript has 3 exons. The record is from RefSeq and is a predicted model, not a curated record. NCBI's taxonomy places the organism in Eukaryota, Metazoa, Chordata, Mammalia, Chiroptera, Vespertilionidae.
UCGCAUAAAUUCGUCCCACUGCAGCCCCGGAAGCCAGGAGGUGCGGCCGAGGCAUCUUAGUAACGAAGCGGGCUCAGUGGCAUCCACCGCGUCCACAACCAAGAGCGGAGCAGCCAGGUCUGCCCAGCAUGUCGGAAGCUGGUGAGGGAGAGAGGAGCAUGGAGACCACGGACACCCCCAACAUGGACACAAGGCCGCUCCCGUAGGCGGAUCGCCCGCCCGGACCCGGGAGUCCUCAACCUGGAGCCAGAAGGCCACGGAGGCAGACCAGAUGACCUGCGGCGGGAGCCCGGAGGACGCGGGGCAGGUGCUGCGGGGGUGGGGGGAGUCUUGGUUCAGCGUCGUUGGGGAGCUGCCUGGAGGAGAGCGCAAGUGGCCGAGAGGAAGAUAAAUAGUUCGUUGGUGGCCUGAGCUGGGAUACAAGCAAAAAGGAUCCAAAAGACUAUUUUACCAAAUUUGGAGAGGUCCUUGACCAUACUAUAAAAAAUGGAUCCCAACAUUGGAAGAUGAAGAGGGUUGGGGUUUAUCCCCUUUAAAAAUGGAGAAGAGGUUGCAAGUAAAAUAUCCUGUGGGAAAACAAAAGAAGAAAUUUGGAUAACAGAUGUGUUGGCCCCUUACAGCGUAGAGCUGAUUUUGCCAUAUCUCACCAACAAUGAUGUUUUCUACAGCAUAUCAACCUCAAGGGAUGAGCUAAAUCAUGGCAUCAAGAGGGAACUAGCUCUUACGUACUUUGACUUGAAAAUGGAGUUUCAAAUAGUGGGCUUGAUAUCUAUGAGGAUUUAACGAAACUGCUGAAAUCAUAAAACAAAAGAUUGUUGAUAUUUUUUCCAAAUGCAAACUCAUCUAUCUGCAUAUUUAUCAGACAGUACAAAUGUAAAUUUUGGCAAAUUCCAUACAGUCUAUAAACUUCUUAACAGGGAUAAUGAAAAGAUCUUACCUAUUCAAUGACCUGCACAUCUUAUAUACAACAUCGCUAAAAAGGGUUGUGAUUGCUUAAUGUGAUACUGAGAUUUUCAUAAUGAAAGUUUGUGGUCAUUUUUAUCAAAUGCAAAGAAGCACUUAAUGAGUUUUUUUUACUUAAUAGAAAUGUAAGGAGAUAACCUCUGUAGACAUGUGCCUACAAGGGGGCAUCAUUGCUCCCAGCCAUAGAAACCAUGCUAAAAUGUUGGCCUACCAUAAAAUCAUAUUUUCAAAGUGUGGGACA